This 1131-nucleotide ribosomal RNA is filed under the name Triticum aestivum (bread wheat). RNAcentral's name for it is "partial small subunit ribosomal RNA". The record is from RNAcentral. Lineage: Eukaryota; Viridiplantae; Streptophyta; Magnoliopsida; Poales; Poaceae.
AUGGAGUUCGAGACGAUGAGCAGCGCAUUCGCGGGGCUCAAGACCCACACUAGCGACGACGACGGCGCAGCAAGGCCGGCCGGCGGAACUCGCGGGGCCGCGACCGGGAAGGAGCCCAUCUGCAGCAAGGCCGGGGCAAACGCACGGCGGCGGGAGCGCCAACUUUUUCGCGAUUCGAUCAAGGCAGGGCGCCGCCCCCCACGUCGAGGCGACGAGGAAGAGGAGGGCGCGAUCCCCGUCUACCGCCGUGCCUGGGAGACCUCCUUCGGCGGCGUCUUCGGCUCCUUCGACGACGAAACUGCCCUUGGUCCCAUGCGCUACACAUCUGGACCUAUCCCGGAAAAUGCUGUUCCAGCUAGCACCUUGCAGAUCUUCUCUGUCAGAGUUACUGACCUGAAAGGUCUCUGGUGGCCACUUCAUGUCUAUGGCUUGGUUGCCACCAGAGAUGAGGCAGAUCAUAAUCGCAACUUUCUUUUCAGGCGCACGAGGGAUAACUGCCAAAUCCUUACCAAAGAGGAUCCAGUUUUGCUGUUAACAGGCCCGUCUCGCGCAGUCCUGUUGGCUGGUCUGGUCACCUUCGAAGUACAGCUGAUGGUAAAGAGCAAAACUGAACUUGCAGAUAAAGUGCUGGCUUCCAAAGUCUUCUAUUUCCACCAGGGAUCUCGCCGAGAAGACAGUAUCUGUACACGCAUCCCCUACAAGCAUUGUGCGCUCGAGUUUGCGCUCGCGCCUCUGCGGCAUUCGGUCGAGGCCACCGUCAGCGUCCAGCUCGUCGACGGGUCGUGGCCGGACGGUCACCAGGGACUGGUCUUCUCCUGCACCGACAGCAUAAAAGAUACCAAGAUGGUGCUGCUUGACUGUCGAGAUGGGAACAUGCCCAUCGGUUCGGACGGCAUGUUUGAGCUCUCCAGGUGCGUUGUUUGCGCAGAGCUGGGCGGGAGGGAUAAGCUCAUGGUGUCCGUGCAGGCGCGGCGCGUCGGUUUCCUUAUGAGAAAUGCGGCCGUCUUCGAGCCCAAGAUGUCCGGGACGAGCGUUGGCAUGUGUGAUCUUCGUUUCUGCAAGAUGCAGGUGACCGUUGCCUGGUCCCUGCUCUCCACCUCUGGCACACAUGCAGAUGCAGGUGGUAAGUAG